This 458-nucleotide ribosomal RNA is filed under the name uncultured bacterium. RNAcentral describes it as "partial 16S ribosomal RNA". It matches the Rfam family "Bacterial small subunit ribosomal RNA", at positions 338 to 795 of the family's 1533-position model. The record is from RNAcentral.
CCUACGGGUGGCAGCAGUGGGGAAUAUUGCACAAUGGGGGAAACCCUGCUGCAGCGACGCCGCGUGAGUGAAGAAGUAAUUCGUUACGUAAAGCUCUAUCAGCAGGGAAGAAAUACUGACCUUACGGUCAGCAGACGGUACCUGAGUAAGAAGCCCCGGCUAACUACGUGCCAGCAGCCGCGGUAAUACGUAGGGGGCAAGCGUUAUCCGGAUUUACUGGGUGUAAAGGGAGCGUAGACGGUGCGCCAAGGCUGGUGUGAAAUGCCGCAGCUUAACUGCGGAACUGCUGUGGAAACUGGCGAACUAGAGUGCGGGAGGGGUAAGCGGAAUUCCGAGUGUAGCGGGGAAAUGCGUAUAGAUUAGGAGGAACACCGGUGGCGAGGGCGGCUUACUGGACCGUAACUGACGUUGAGGCUCGAAAGCGUGGGGAGCAAACAGGAUGAGAUCCCCGUGUAGUC